RNAcentral lists this ribosomal RNA (489 nucleotides) under uncultured bacterium. RNAcentral's name for it is "partial 16S ribosomal RNA". It matches the Rfam family "Bacterial small subunit ribosomal RNA", at positions 28 to 507 of the family's 1533-position model. The record is from RNAcentral.
GACGAACGCUGGCGGCGUGCUUAACACAUGCAAGUCGAACGGAAAGGCCCCCAUCUUGGUGGGGGUGCUCGAGUGGCGAACGGGUGAGUAACACGUGGGUGAUCUGCCCUGUACUUCGGGAUAAGCUUGGGAAACUGGGUCUAAUACCGGAUAGGACCAUGGUUUAGUGUCUCAUGGUGGAAAGAUUAUUGUUUUUGUGCAGGAUGAGCUCGCGGCCUAUCAGCUUGUUGGUGGGGUAAUGGCCUACCAAGGCGUCGACGGGUAGCCGGCCUGAGAGGGUGGACGGCCACAUUGGGACUGAGAUACGGCCCAGACUCCUACGGGAGGCAGCAGUGGGGAAUAUUGCACAAUGGGCGCAAGCCUGAUGCAGCGACGCCGCGUGGGGGAUGACGGCCUUCGGGUUGUAAACUCCUUUCGUUAGGGACGAAGCCGCACUUUUUUUGGGUGUGGUGACGGUACCUUUGUUAAGAAGCACCGGCUAACUACGUG